RNAcentral lists this ribosomal RNA (302 nucleotides) under uncultured bacterium. Its description in RNAcentral is "partial 16S ribosomal RNA". It matches the Rfam family "Bacterial small subunit ribosomal RNA", at positions 508 to 807 of the family's 1533-position model. The record is from RNAcentral.
GCAGUAGCCGCGGUAACACGAAGGGGGCUAGCGUUGUUCGGAUUUACUGGGCGUAAAGCGCACGUAGGCGGAUCGAUCAGUCAGGGGUGAAAUCCCAGAGCUCAACUCUGGAACUGCCUUUGAUACUGUCGAUCUGGAGUAUGGAAGAGGUGAGUGGAAUUCCGAGUGUAGAGGUGAAAUUCGUAGAUAUUCGGAGGAACACCAGUGGCGAAGGCGGCUCACUGGUCCAUUACUGACGCUGAGGUGCGAAAGCGUGGGGAGCAAACAGGAUUAGAUACCCCCGUAGUCCCUGUCUCUUAUAC